Molecule: long non-coding RNA, 722 nt
Organism: Mauremys reevesii (Reeves's turtle)
Lineage: Eukaryota; Metazoa; Chordata; Testudines; Geoemydidae
Exons: 4
Source: RefSeq, a predicted model, not a curated record
UUUGGCAGCUGUAUAACAUUACGGACUCAUUAUCUACUUUGCGUGAGCUAGAAUUAAAGUGCAUUAAGAAAUGAAGAAAAAUGUUAUCACAUAUCGAACUGGGACAGACAGCUUUAGAAAAGCCUCAGCUGUAAAGGAAGAAACCAUUUGCUUUUCUCCUGUACCGUUAGUAUCAUCAGACUGAUCGCUAAUUGUAAGGGUGAAGCUUUAAAGACAUCUAUUCAGCAACAGUUGAUGAGGAAUCCCAGGACCCAUCCAUUUACAAAACAGAGUCAGUAGAAGUGUGCCUGUCUAUGGGGAAAACAGGAAGUGAAACAUUUUCAUUGGAACCACUCAUCAAAAUUCCAGUGCAGCUGAAACUUAGAUUGUUCUAACAAGGAUUCUUCAUGAGCUCCAGCACCCAGGGUGGAUGAGUAGCGAGACAUUACUUGGGGCAAAUAUAAUACUGCAAUGUGUCUUAUAAUGGCUGUGCCUCUAGAUGUUAACUAGCAUGCAUUUGAACACACCUGUCCAGUAAGCAGUGUAACAUGACAUACCUGGGUGGGUUGAACCCAGCUCCUUUGUAUCUAAAUGCAUGAGCCUCUUGUGUCUGAGCUAAAAGACCCAGUUCUCUUAGCCAACACUGUAGCAGGCUCAUCAAUCUCUGUAUGUGGCCAGGCCAGUAGAGAGAGACAGAGUGCCUUGCUGAAUAAGUUUGCAAUACACAAAAAUGGGGCCAACCC